Molecule: transfer RNA, 68 nt
Filed under: Brachionus rotundiformis
Lineage: Eukaryota; Metazoa; Rotifera; Eurotatoria; Ploima; Brachionidae
Description: tRNA-Ser
Source: RNAcentral
AAGUUAGUGGUGUCAGCUAAAAGGUUUCUUCUAAAUACCUUAACGAGGUGCAAUUCCUUGAUCACUUG